Molecule: ribosomal RNA, 254 nt
Filed under: uncultured bacterium
Lineage: Bacteria
Description: partial 16S ribosomal RNA
Rfam family: Bacterial small subunit ribosomal RNA
Source: RNAcentral
UACGUAGGGUGCGAGCGUUGUCCGGAAUUAUUGGGCGUAAAGAGCUCGUAGGCGGUCUGUCGCGUCUGCUGUGAAAUCCCGAGGCUCAACCUCGGGCUUGCAGUGGGUACGGGCAGGCUAGAGUGCGGGUAGGGGAGAAUGGAACUCCUGGUGUAGCGGUGGAAUGCGCAGAUAUCAGGAAGAACACCGAUGGCGAAGGCAGUUCUCUGGGCCGUAACUGACGCUGAGGAGCGAAAGCAUGGGGAGCGAACAGG